RNAcentral lists this long non-coding RNA (5385 nucleotides) under Homo sapiens (human). RNAcentral's name for it is "PREDICTED lncRNA (TCONS_00174285)". The record is from RNAcentral. Lineage: Eukaryota; Metazoa; Chordata; Mammalia; Primates; Hominidae.
CUGAGGUCAGGAGUUCGAGACCAGCCUGGCCAACAUGGUGAAACCCUGUCUGUACCAAAAAUACAAAAAAUUAGCCAGGUGUGGUGGCAGGCGCCUGUAAUCCCAGCUCCUCGGGAGGCUGAGGCAGGAGAAUCGCUUGAACCCGGAAGGCAGAGGUUGCAGUGAGCCAAGAUCACGCCACUGCACUCUAACCUGGGUGACACAGCGAGACUCCUUCUAAAAAAAGAAAAGGUGCAGCAAUGACUAGCCUUGUGCAUUCAUUUUUCUCCCCCCCAUCUUUAACACUUAUUUCUUUAACAGAAUUAUGGAGCGACUAUAAUUGAAGAUGGAAGUUUCGUGGGAAGGGAUAUUCAACAUAGUUAACAACCAAUAUGACCUGAUCACCAUCCAUUGGAAUAGCCAUAUGUCUAGGGCUGGAAUGGGGUUUUAGAAGCCUGAUAAAUCAGCAAUUCACACUUUAGCCAGGAAUCAGGGGGAGGUCAGAAACAUCCUAGGGAAAUGGGAAGGGCAAUGAAAGAACAUUUCAGAGGGUAUCAGAGAAUUUUACUAUUCUAACACCCAUUUAGUUAAACGUGUAUAAUAAUCAUCAGCCCAAUUUGUAUGUUUGCUAUUGAAAAGAUAAGGAUUAUAAUCUGAUUAUCUUGUCCUCUUGUGUCCAGAAUUGGUGGGUUCUUGGUCUCACUGACUUCAAGAAUGAAGCCUCGGACCCUCAUGGUGAGUGUUACAGCUCUUAAGAUGGCACGUCUGGAGUUUGUUCCUUCUGAUGUUUGGAUGUGUUGAGAGUUUCUUCCUCCUGGUGGGCUCGUGGUCUCGCUGGCUCAAGAGUGAAGCUGCAGACCUUCGCAGUGAGUGUUACAGCUCUUAAGGCAGUGUGUCUGGAGUUGUUCGUUCCUCCUGGUGGGCUCCUGGUCUUGCUGGCUUCAGGAGUGAAGCUGCAGACUUUCGUGGUGAGUGUUACAGCUCAUAAAAGCAGUGUGGACCCAAAGAGUGAGCAGUAGCAAGAUUUAUUGCAAACAGAAAAAAAAACAAAGCUUCUACAGUAUGUAAAGGAACCAGAGCAGGUUGUCACUGCUUGCUCGGGCAGCCUGCUUUUAUUCUCUUAUCUGGCCCCACCCACAUCCUGCUGAUUGGUCCAUUUUACAGAGAGCUGAGUGGUCUGUUUUGACAGGGUGCUGAUUGGUGCAUUUACAAUCCCUGAGCUAGACACAAAGUUUCUCCACCUCCCCACUAGAUUAGCUAGGUACAUCCACACAAAGGUUCUCCAAGUCCCCACCAGAGUAGCUAGAUACAGAGUGUCGAUUGGUGCAUUCGCAAACCCUGAGCUAGACACAGGGUGCUGAUUGGUGUGUUUACAAACCUUGAGCUAGAUACAGAGUGCCGAUUGGUGUAUUUACAAUCCCUGAGCUAGACAUAAAGGUUCUCCGCGUCCCCACCAGACUCAGGAGCCCAGCGGGCUUCAUCCAGUGGAUCCCGUACCCGGGUUGCAGGUGGAGCUGCUUGCCAGUCCCCCGCCGUGUGCCCGCACUCCUCAGCCCUUGGGUGGUCGAUGGGACUGGGAGCCGUGGAGUAGGGGGUGGCGCUUGUCGGGGAGGCUCAGGCUGCACAGGAGCCACGGAAGCGGGGAGGGGAGGCUCAGGCAUGGCGGGCUGCAGGUCCCGCGCCUUGCCCCGCGGGAAGGCAGCUAAGGCCCGGCGAGAAAUUGAGCACAGCAGCUGCUGGCCCAGGUGCUAAGCCCCUCACUGCCCCGGGCCGGCGGGGCGGGCAGGCAGGCCGCUCAGAGCGCAGGGUCCGCCGAGCCCACGCCCACCCGGAACUCACGCUGGUCCGCAAGCACCGCGCGCAGCCCGGGUUCCCGCCUGCGCCUCUCCCUCCACACCUCCCCGCAAGCUGAGGGAGCGGGCUCCGGCCUUGGCCAGCCCAGAAAGGGGCUCCCACAGUGCAGCGGCGGGCUGAAGGGCUCCACAAGUGCUGCCAAAGUGGGACCCCAGGCAGAGGAGGCGCCGAGAGCGAGCCAGGGCUGUGAGGACUGCCAGCACGCUGUCACCUCUCACUGUGAAAUUGGAGGAAAACUCAUCUGUUGAAGUCAAGGAGGAAGGUAGAAUGAUCAGAGUUUUGAAGAAGUGUUCAAAUAAUUAAUUGCUGGGAGUCCUAAGACAUUACGGAAGUAUGGUACAUUUGUUGGGCUGUAUUGAAGACACAACUAAGGUAUGGGAUAAUUAAUUCUUAGUGGUCUAAAGCUUGUGUUGACUAAAUUGUUUGUUUUCCAGGUAGUGUUCAACUUUUCUCUGGAAAAAAAAAAGCUGAAAACAAAUAAUUGGCUUUGUGUAGUGUUUGGUUUCUCCAGAUGAAUAGGCUGAAAGAGCAGAUGUACAAGAGACUUCGUGGUAUUGGCAAGAGAGUGAUUGACACAAAAGAUCAUGAACUCUAAAGUGAACAAUGAAGAGAGUAAAGAGAAAAGAGUCCUUAAAGUUAGCGAGAAAAUAUAAGGGCCAAUGCAAGGUUAAGAUUUCCUUGAAGAAUGUCUAGGUGGAAACAGUUAAAUGAGGAAUCUGGCAAGAGAGAUUGUGACCCAAGAGUGGGGUGAAAUUGGGAAAAUUUAAGUAUUAAUAUCAGGAUGUGACUGUGGUGUGGUAGAUGAAGUGGAAUGGAGGAAAAGGAUAUGAGAGAUGAAGAUUUUUAUAACUGAGAGGCCAAGCAAUGGACAGAUAUGCCACAUGAACCUAAUUAGGACUUUAAAAAGACCAUCCAGGAUGAUGUUUGGAAUGAGGGUGGAGAGCCAAGUGCUAAGUCUUUAGAGACUAAAAGGGAGUGACCAGGAGGCUGGUAAGAGGACAGAUGUCAGAAGGUGUAUUCUGUUGACAGCAGCCCAAAAACAAUGAUUUAUUGUUUUAAGGAAAGUGGAAGCAAAGAAGAUCCUAUUCUUAUCUGCAGACCCCUGAGGUAGGUAGGAUUUUAGACAAUAAACAGCACUCAUGAGAGGCUGCUAUGGAAGCACUGUCAUUAGCCAAACUGUAAACACGUGUUGAGGGUGAAUAUUGGCUCAUCACCGAAGCUGCAAUUCCAAAGAAUAUGUGGGAAGAAAGGGCUUUGUAGGGCACAUAGGAGUAGGGGUUAGACCAGCAAGAAAGGACACAGUUUUUUUUUGUUUGUUUGUUUUUUUGAGAGGGAGUCUCGCUCUGUCGCCCAGGCUGGAGUGCAGUGGUGCGAUCUCGGCUCACUGCAAGCUCCACCUCCCGGGUUCACACCAUUCUUCUGCCUCAGCCUCCGGAGUAGCUGGGACUACAGGCGUCCACCACCACGCCCGGCUAAUUUUUUGUAUUUUUAGUAGAGACGGGGUUUCACCGUGUUAGCCAGGAUGGUCUUGAUCUCCUGACCUCGUGAUCCACCCGCCUCGGCCUCCCAAAGUGCUGGGAUUACAGGCAUGAGCCACCGUGGAAAGGACACAGUUUUAUGUGCGUUCAAGAUGUCAAAGCGAGGACGUGGUAGGUCCUCUGGUGUGAAAUUCUGGAUUUCCUUGGGUCUUCCAGUAGGAGCUGUGAUCAACUGCUGACAACACAGGAGCCAAAAACCUGUAUAUCAUCUCCGUGAAGGGGAUCAAGGGACAGCGGAACAGACUUUCUGCUGCUAGUGUGGGUGACAUGGUGAUGGCCACAGUCAAGAAGGGCAAACCAGAGCUCAGAAAAAUGGUACAUCCAGCAGCGGUCAUUAGACAACCAAAGUCAUACCGGAGAAAAGAUGGCACUGUUUAAGAGUACCAUGGAGAUAGCCUCACCUUCAAAGGAUUUACAGACUUGCUGGAAAAUCUAAACAUGAGAAACUGUUAAAUCAAUGAGACUAUUUUCAAGUUCCCAAAGCAGUAAUAUCCUACUGACUUCUGGGUAAAAAAAUAAACCAGUUAUAAGUUGAUGUCCUAGGAAAAUCGAAGAGAGAUCUGUGUGGCCUGGAGUAGUUGAGGAACAUGGCAAGAGGCAUGGAUCCCUGUUGCAAAAGGUGGAAAGUCUCGUCAGAAUACAAGGAAAUGAAAUGAAGAGAUAUUUCCAGCAAGAACAGACAAAAUUUAGGAAACAAUUAGUAAAUAGGAGCACAGAAAAUCAUUCCAGUCUUGUCCUUCAAGUUUUUUUUUUUUUUUUCCCCCUGGGUAAGUCUGCACUGAAGUUAGGCUAGAUUCUUGACUGUCCUUUCCGAAAUCCAUGCUAAUCCAACUCACUGUCUCUGUCCCUCUCUCGUCCCCAUUUUGAAUGUUCUCCCUUUUAUUUUACUUUUCCUAAUGUUUUCCAAGCUUUGGGCUUUGGCUUGGAAAGCCUAUCUGACUACUCAAGCACAUGUUAAUCUUCCCCUUCUGUAGCAUUUUUGAUAUGUGACACCCACAUUUUCAGUGAAUGGCAUGAUAUCUAGUAGUGUUUCCAAUGUGUUAAACUGUUUGCAGCUAUAUUGUAUAACUCUCAAGAAUGAGGACACUACAAUUUGUAUAACCAAUGUACCAUGAUAUAUGUAACCAAUGAUUUAUUUUAAACAAACAAUAUUUGUUGAGUUGAUUUUUUUUUUUUUUUUUUGAGACGGAGUCUUGUUCUGUUGCCCAGGCUGGGGUGCAGUGGCGCGAUCUUGGCUCACUGCAACCUCUGCCUCCUGGGUUCAAGCAAUUCUCCUGCCUCAGCCUCCCACAUAGCUGGGGUUACAGGUGCGUGCCACCGUGCCUAGCUAGUUUUUGUAUUUUUGGUAGAGACGAGGUUUCACCAUCGUGGCCAGGCUGGUCUUGAAUUCCUGAUCUCAGGUGAUCCACCCACCUUGGCUUCCCAAAGUGCUGGGAUUAUAGGCAUCGGUCACUGCACCCAGCCUGAGUUGAUUUUUAAUUACAUAAUUAAUACAUGAAGAUGUUGUCCUUGUAUAAAAUAAAAUCUUACAGAUAAGGCUUAAUUUCCUUUGACUAUAACUCUUAACCCUAAUGUCUUUUCUUGCCACUUUUUCCCACAAAAAGUCACUACAAUGAUCAGACUGGUAUGUAUUCUUGCAGAUCUUUAUUUUAUUAUUAUUUUUUUUUGAGACGGAGUCUCACUUUGUCACCCAGGCUGAAGUGCAGAGGCGCGAUCUUGGCUCACUGCAACCUCCACCUCCUGGGUUCAAGCAAUUCUCCUGCCUCAGCCUCCCUAGUAGCUGGGAUUACGGCUGCCUGCCACCAUGCCCAGCUAAUUUUUGUAUUUUAGUAGCAACGGCGUUUCACCAUGUUGGUCAGGCUUGUCUCAAACUCCUGACCUCAAGCAAUCCACCCACCUCGGCCUCCCCAAGUGUUGGGAUUACAGGCGUGAGCCACCGCACCCGGCCUAUUCUCUGUAUUUAUAUUAUAUAUAUAUGCAUAAAUAUAUAUAUAUAUAUAUUAUUGUGUUGUGG